CCCAUCACAGCGCGAUGCCACCCCCAGGGUCACCAUGCCCGGCGCCCGCUGCCACCUCGCUGCCGCCCCGCUGUCCCCUCUGCCCCCCACGCAGCACGCGGUCACCCCGCGCUGCCCAGCCGUCGCCCGGUACUGCCGCGUCCCACCGCUGCACCACGUCCCUCGGUGCCACAUCCGCACAUCUCCUACGCAGGAAACUCCACCCCCUCCCUCAGGCAGCCCGUGCCAACGCUUGGCCACCCUCUCUGCAAAUAAAUGCUCCCUAAUAUUCAAUCUAAGGCUCCCACCUAAAGGGACCUGAACGCGCUCAAAAGGGGGGGCCCAUGUGAACCUCAUAGGGUUCAAUGCGACCAAGAGCAGGGAGCUGCAGCUGGGUCAGGACAAUCCCGGGUAUGUGUACAGACUGGGAGAACUCCUUGAGAGGAGCCCUGCAGAGAAGGACGUGGGGGUCCAGAUGGACAAAAAGCUGCACGUGAGCCGGCAGUGGGAUCUUGCAGCUUGGAAGGGCAACUGCACCUGGGCCAGGUGGCCCUGAUGGCAACGGAUUGCCCACCAGGCUCCCCAAGGCCCUGCUGAGGGCUAAAGCCUUACCCCAGCGCUGAUGCAGCCCCAGCUCAUGGGGACGUGGUUCCUCCUCCCUGGGGCUGGGAAAUCGGAUGACUCAGAGGAAGUGUGCAACGUGCAGCACUUGUGGUGCAGCAGAUGGCCCCGCACAGACCUGGACAGACUGACCCCCUCCAGCUGAGCUCCCGGAGGCGUGCAGCAGGGCUGUCAGAUUCUGGAGGCUCACAUCCCCCUUCUUCCUUCCUCUGAAGAUAGAACAGGGCUGUUUGCUGCGGGGCUGGAGGAGUGAUAACGAUGUGCUGGCACCGCUGCCCAGGGAGGAGGUGGGGUCACCGUCCCUGGAGGCGUGCAGAGCCGUGGAGAUGUGGCACCGAGGGACGCGGUCAGUGGGUGUGCUGGGAUGGGCUGGGGUUGGCCUCGGGGAUCUCUAAGGUCUUUCCCAACCCUAACGAUCCUAUGAUUCUGCUCUCUGCCUCGCUGUCCUCGGGGGACGCGCUUCCCAUUCUGGGAGGGCUUGGGCUGUGCGUUCCCUUUCAUUGAGGGAGACGAGGAGUUUUCACCGGCGUCCUUUACCAGCGGAGGAUGGAAGCGAAGCCGUCCCAGCAGCUCGGGCAGGUGCCGUGGGUCCCCACGCCAUCUAGUGUCGCCUCGGCGGUGGGAUGCUCCGCGCUCUGCUGCAGCCGCUGCGGGCUGGGCAGGCUGAGGUUAGAGGCAAGAGGCGCAAAUCCGGGCUGUGCCAGAAAGCUGUAUUUAUUUUAUAAAUAAAGCGCUUAUUUAUAAUGGA
This is a long non-coding RNA of Numida meleagris (helmeted guineafowl), 1348 nucleotides long. RefSeq lists it as uncharacterized. NCBI's taxonomy places the organism in Eukaryota, Metazoa, Chordata, Aves, Galliformes, Numididae. The record is from RefSeq and is a predicted model, not a curated record. The transcript has 2 exons.